This 484-nucleotide ribosomal RNA is filed under the name uncultured bacterium. RNAcentral's name for it is "partial 16S ribosomal RNA". It matches the Rfam family "Bacterial small subunit ribosomal RNA", at positions 30 to 507 of the family's 1533-position model. The record is from RNAcentral.
AUUGAACGCUGGCGGCAGGCCUAACACAUGCAGGUCGAGCGGAUGAAGGGAGCUUGCGCCUGGAUUCAGCGGCGGACGGGUGAGUAAUGCCUAGGAAUCUGCCUGGUAGUGGGGGAUAACGUCCGGAAACGGGCGCUAAUACCGCAUACGUCCUGAGGGAGAAAGUGGGGGAUCUUCGGACCUCACGCUAUCAGAUGAGCCUAGGUCGGAUUAGCUAGUUGGUGGGGUAAAGGCCUACCAAGGCGACGAUCCGUAACUGGUCUGAGAGGAUGAUCAGUCACACUGGAACUGAGACACGGUCCAGACUCCUACGGGAGGCAGCAGUGGGGAAUAUUGGACAAUGGGCGAAAGCCUGAUACAGCCAUGCCGCGUGUGUGAAGAAGGUCUUCGGAUUGUAAAGCACUUUAAGUUGGGAGGAAGGGCAGUAAGUUAAUACCUUGCUGUUUUGACGUUAACAACAGAAUAAGCACCGGCUAACUUCGUG